RNAcentral lists this ribosomal RNA (93 nucleotides) under Nannospalax galili (Upper Galilee mountains blind mole rat). The record is from RNAcentral. Lineage: Eukaryota; Metazoa; Chordata; Mammalia; Rodentia; Spalacidae.
UACCACUCUGAAGGUCCAUGAACUCAUCUGAUCUCAGAAACUGAGGAGGGUGGGGCCUGAUUAAUAUUUGGAUGGCAAAAAAAAAUUCUUGUU